AUGAGCACAGCCCUAGACCCCAGGGUCAGACUCUGCAGGCUGGUGGGAUCAAGGCAAGAGGUGGAAGGAAAGAGCUCUGGAUUUCCUGGUUCAGUGGAUCCCAGGCAGCACAUAUAUUUCUCUGCAGUGGUCACCAUGUACAAGUCACAAUUGAAGUGUGUUCCACUGCUUUCAGGGAACACACCUACUGGCAUUACUGCUGCUAAUGGUGAUGCUCAGAAAAGAUUCAGGAAGCUCUGCUCUGAGUAAGGAUGCAAUAGGGCUUGUGAAGGCAACACAAGAACAUAUGGCAAAAUGUUUUGACAUUGUAACAGGUAGAAAAAGGGAGCUCUGAGAGUUGUUAAAAUGCAAGGAAAUCAAUCAAGUCUAGCGAGAUAAUGGUUAUGAGUGAAAGAUUUAGAGAUUAUAAAUAUAUUGGGAGGGAAAGAAAGGAAAGCAGAGAAGACAUACUAGGAAAGAAAAAAAAAAAAGAAGAGAAGAUUCAGUUUUGAAGAGGCUUUUGAAGUGACACCUGAAAGUGCUAAGAAAAAAGUGUCUAGAGGCUGCCUUAAAUGUAGACCUGGAUGAAGGGAGAAAAGGAUUAGAGAGAAACUUUGGUGAGGUCAUUUGGUAAAACAAAGAAAAAGUAGAGGGACAAGACAGGUGAUCAUAAAAACUACAUAAGCAGCAAGGAAAAGGAAUAAUCUUGUACUCUUAUUGCUGUUGUUACUAAUAGCACUUUAAAUUAAACAAAUUGUUCCUAUCUUUAACAUGGAUAAAUGGUAGAAAAGUGCACAAUGGCCUGAGUGGUAGGUUGCACUAGGGUGAUCAAGCCUUUUGAUGUUUUUGGCAAAUGGGAUAGCUGCAUGGGGUUGGGAGGGAAGUAAUAUCUUAAUCCUGUCAUGUGGGACUGCCUAGAUGAUGAGAGGAAAAGGUAUCAAAGUACCCAGAAUAGAAACAUUUCCUAAAUUUCCACGCAUCUUAGGGUCAAGCUUCUGAUAUUACAUAUAAAUAUAUAUUAUAUAUCAAUCAUGUCAGAAAAUAUUUGGAUGAAUAGAUAAUUCAAUUAGUAUCAGAGAGAGAGAUCAACAAUCUAGCUCUAUUUAAAACAUAAGGCAGGCUGCUUUAUUCAGGUUUAAAAGCCCUGCAAUUGCAAACGCAAUUUCAGUUUCUUACAGCAGGUGGUGGUAUGUGCUAUUAGAAUAAAAUAUUUGCUUCCAAGAAAGUCUGUUGCUUA
Molecule: long non-coding RNA, 1216 nt
Filed under: Anas platyrhynchos platyrhynchos (common mallard)
Lineage: Eukaryota; Metazoa; Chordata; Aves; Anseriformes; Anatidae
Description: lncRNA (ENSAPLG00000027017.1)
Source: RNAcentral